GACGGACGCUGGCGGCGUGCCUAAUACAUGCAAGUAGAACGCUGAAGGAGGAGCUUGCUCUUCUGGAUGAGUUGCGAACGGGUGAGUAACGCGUAGGUAACCUGCCUGGUAGCGGGGGAUAACUAUUGGAAACGAUAGCUAAUACCGCAUAAGAGUAGAUGUUGCAUGACAUUUGCUUAAAAGGUGCAAUUGCAUCACUACCAGAUGGACCUGCGUUGUAUUAGCUAGUUGGUGAGGUAACGGCUCACCAAGGCGACGAUACAUAGCCGGCCUGAGAGGGUGAUCGGCCACACUGGGACUGAGACACGGCCCAGACUCCUACGGGAGGCAGCAGUAGGGAAUCUUCGGCAAUGGGGGCAACCCUGACCGAGCAACGCCGCGUGAGUGAAGAAGGUUUUCGGAUCGUAAAGCUCUGUUGUAAGAGAAGAACGAGUGUGAGAGUGGAAAGUUCACACUGUGACGGUAACUUACCAGAAAGGGACGGCUAACUACGUGCCAGCAGCCGCGGUAAUACGUAGGUCCCGAGCGUUAUCCGGAUUUAUUGGGCGUAAAGCGAGCGCAGGCGGUUAGAUAAGUCUGAAGUUAAAGGCUGUGGCUUAACCAUAGUACGCUUUGGAAACUGUUUAACUUGAGUGCAGAAGGGGAGAGUGGAAUUCCAUGUGUAGCGGUGAAAUGCGUAGAUAUAUGGAGGAACACCGGUGGCGAAAGCGGCUCUCUGGUCUGUAACUGACGCUGAGGCUCGAAAGCGUGGGGAGCAAACAGG
RNAcentral lists this ribosomal RNA (763 nucleotides) under uncultured Streptococcus sp. Its description in RNAcentral is "bacterial SSU rRNA". It matches the Rfam family "Bacterial small subunit ribosomal RNA", at positions 28 to 776 of the family's 1533-position model. Lineage: Bacteria; Bacillati; Bacillota; Bacilli; Lactobacillales; Streptococcaceae. The record is from RNAcentral.